CUCGGACGAAAUUUGGAAGGUGGUUGAUCACCGUAGAAAUUUGGAUAGAGUCUGGUUAUUGUAGAAGUCCUACUGCUGGAGAAGCUCGGAGUGAAAUCGAUCGUGAUAGGAGGAAGUCUGAAAGAGAUUCAGAGAGUAGUCGAUCACUGUAGAAAAUCGACUGAUAAUGAAGCCCAGAGAGCAUUUGGAAUAGCCCGGUAGAUGAACGAAGGAGCUCAUUAUUGGAGA
Molecule: long non-coding RNA, 228 nt
Filed under: Elaeis guineensis (African oil palm)
Lineage: Eukaryota; Viridiplantae; Streptophyta; Magnoliopsida; Arecales; Arecaceae
Description: long non-coding RNA (EGUI_LNC033901)
Source: RNAcentral